UCCACAGAGUGAAGAUUUCCUGUCGAUUUCAAUUUUCCAGAGCAGACUCAGAAACAAACAAAGCAAAGGUGGCUGCAAUACGUUUAUACACUGAACCCAUUCACAGAAGUACCCUGCGUAGCUUCCGUACUAGUCUCUUUAAACAACCAUCAAAUACACUGACUAUGGGUAAGUACCUCACACAGCUUGGCUUUCAAAAGCAGACAAAUAAUUUUAAAAUAACUAAAUUACUAGAUAAUUCAUAUGCAUAGGUUGGGAGUCAUCCAGGUUGUGGUUGUCCUACCUACUUAUGCACAUCUGGACUUCUUUUUGGCUCUAGGACAUGUUUGACCUCUUAAUACAGAGAGUUCCACAGUACUAACCCCCAAGUGGCGAGUUUAUAAUAUUUAUUAUCACCAAAAACUCAAAAUUAAUCAAGAUGUGAAUGAUUGUGACACUGCCUAGGGAGGGAUUUCAGGACCUUACAGGUACCUGACAAGUGAUUUUAUAGACCACCUCCACUGUUUAGAUAAAUGGCGUCCUUCCCUCCUCUCUUUCAAGAAUGUAAACAUUGUUGUGUCUUGGUAUGAUAUAUGGUGUGAUUUCUCCUGGGUGGAGUCUUCUCAUAAUUACUUGUGGGAUUAUUUUUUUUUUAGGAGAUAAGGCAGAGUUAGGUCUUUUAGCUAAAAAACACCCUUCUCCAGUUGGGUAAGUUUUUUUUUUUUAACCUACUUGUCCUGAAUACCUUCUAGGUUAGAACUAACUUGUUUCUGUCCGGUUGGCUUAGAAGUUGUCAUUAUUUGCUCUUGACUGUAGUGUUUGGAAUUUCAUUGUGUAUCAAUCCAUGCUCUUUUUGUGUUUUAUUAAACUUGCCUUUUCAGCAAACUCGAAAACUUCCUCUAGUAUCUGUUCUGCUCUAUGGCCUUUGACAGUGAAGGCACAGUAUAAGCAAAUAACUCCAGACGAACAACCGAACCCCCUAGACAGAAACAAAUUGACUCUACGCUAGUGGACAUUCAGGGUAAGUGGGUGAAUAAUCUAUAAGAUACAGAUUUUGCCCAACUGGACACAAUGUCUUAGCCAAAGGGCUUAACUAUGUCGUAUUUCUACAACAGUUUCCAGUGCUGGACUUCAUUGCAGCCACAAACUCAGCUAAAAGGAACUACAACCUAGCAGAGGCAGAAGCAGAACAACUCAGAAUGAGGUUUCAGUGGUGCUUUCUAGUCCAAAAAUACUUACUUUCAUUCUUACAACCUUGUAAAAGGAGGCAGUAAGAUCAUUAAGUAAAAAUUCAGCAAAAAAAUAAAAUCAGCAUCCUGCCAGCAGAUAAGGGGAGGUGGUACUCAUCACUGCAAGUUACCAUACUAAUAUAACUACACUGCUCAGGGUCAAGGCCCAGAACCAGUUACAAGAAGGCCAUAGAUUGACUGCAAGAGUUAGAAAAGGAGACAACCAUCAACUGGCAAUAUUAUUACCAUCUUUACAGUAGAAAAGCAACACUGCUGGCUCAUAGGGAAUCCAAAGUCUACUUUGGAUUGUUGGGUUCUCUGUUCUGAAGAUACACAACGAGCAAGAACCACUUAGAUCCAUAAUCAGCAACAUCAAUCACCUGUAAGACUGCAAAACACCGCCAUCAUCUUAGCAUCUCUGGUUGAAAAUGCUUCAACUCAUAUCCAAAACUGCACUGAGUUUGCCAUCAAAGUUCAGAAAUUUAAAUUGGCCCCAGAUGAAAUCAUCACUCGAUGCACCUCACUUUUCACAUGUAUACCUGCAGCUAAUAAUAACUACCAAGACAGAAGUAAAAGACAAGUAGAAACUAGGAAGCACUUGAAACCAGAGACAAUCCCAACAGGGCCUUCAAUUUGUAAACAAAAGAGUUCUAGUACAACAUUCAACAGGGAAGGGAAGAAGAACAGUAGGAACAACAUUGUCAUCCUGUAUGUGGCUGGAGUGUCACAGAAACAGAAAAUCCUGGUGCACUUAAGAUUUAGCAAUAUUCUCAGACUACAGGUGGUUCACCCUAAGGGUAAAACAGUCAAACUCAAGCUGAGCAGCAUUAUAUAUGCAGUCCAAUACAGCGAGGAGUACACAGAACUAUACACAAGGGAAACAAAACAACCAUCUCCAGGGAGACAUAUUACUUAUCAGGUACUUAUAAUGCAGUAUUGACAACCCCUUCUAGGCAGUACUCCUGUCCACAGCUCAAGUCAUGUCAAUAAUGAAAUACAUGUGCCUAAUUAAAUACUUGUGACUCCCUCCCAGUCAGUUAGAACUUAGUUUCUUUAACCCUCAAGCGACCAAGCUAUUUUAGCGACUAAAAUGACUGACUGGGGUCAUUUAUGAUCCCACUAUAUUUUACACAGGAAUGUCUACUUUAGUGCCUCUUUUUGUGCUUUCUUAUCUAUUCCACUCCACUGCAUUUUAAGAUGGAUAUUCUAAAAUAACCUUCUUUUAUUAUUCAUGGAUUUUAAUCAUUUUGACUCAGAGCUAAAGUAAAACCAUAUGAACAAUAUGAUGCAUUGUAAGAACGCAAUAACAUUUAUUUAGACACGCUUUGUCUGCCACUUCUUUUAAAACUUUAUUCCUUUUAUUUCCUCAAUAGUAAAUCAAAAGUACAUAAAAACAAAAUCUACACAAACAUCCUGUCUGUAUGUGUACAAUGUAACAUGCAGAGAAGUAUUUAGAUUAGGGGCGGCUGUGGCUCAGGUGGCAGAGUAGUUCGUCCAAAGCAAGACACUUUGCCCACCUUACCUCCAGUGCUGCCACUUACACUGGUGUAUGAAUGUGUAUGCUGUGUAAUGUUGGUGGUGGUCAGAGAGGUUGUAGGAGUGGAUUGGCUGCCAGUCAGUCUGCCCCAGGGUAGCUGUGGCUAAAAAUGUAGGUCUACCAACUAUAGUGCACUGCAAAACACUGAAAUAUAGCGAUUAGAGGUAGAAAUAAAUAAAUAAAACUAAGGCCUACAAUAGUGAAAAACCUAUACAUCUUUCUGGGGUCAUAAGUGACCCCAGACAAGUUUCCAUUAUCCUUGUCACACCAGUUGGCCGAUCUCUACAAAAAACUAUGAGCAGCUGUAGGACAAGACGAUUGACAAAUUCAUGGUAGGAAACAUUUUUCGGAUAAAAGAUAUAAAAACGGCAAAUAUAAUUAUAUGGCUGGGGUCAUAAAUGACCCCACUCGGUCGCUUGGGGGUUAAUGAAACGUCUUUAAGAACCAAAAAAGAAAUCAAGUUACCUUGAAGCAUUUAUUAUAGUCAAAAUAACUGACACGCUAAAUCAAUACAUCGGCUAAUGAUUACAGCACUGAAGAUAAAGGAUACAUGCUGUUUUUCACUUUUAUUAGCUCACGUAAAAUUCAUUUUGCAGUGCCGGUAUACAUACACACAUGCCGUUUAAUUAGUCUACUAUUUUCAGUUGAUCCAAUCCUUGUCUAUGCAAAGUACUGUUGCAGUCCUAUUUCUCAAAUGUUUAGCAUUUUGCUCACAAAACAAAAGGGGAAUCUGGAGUUCACACCAAACCUCUUUUUUUAUCAGUCUCAUAUCAGUGUGUUCAGUACAGAGCUGGAAUCAGUCUGUGCUAAGCUUAGCAGAGCAUAAAGACUGGAAACAGGAGGACGAUAUAUCAUUUCAACGUCGGCAUCACAAUGUAAAGUGAGGCAAAUUAACUCAAACACAGCAUGCUCAAACUUUUUGCUGCUUGAUACAAAAAGAGUAAAUUCACAGUUCUCAUUUUCCAUGACUAAUCUCCACGAGAAGUCUGUCUGAGAGAACAUAAUUUACUCUGAUUUAAGGGUUCUUGAAUACACUCAGUUUUUUCUUAUAUUUUUUUCUAAGAGACACAGAUUUUGUUGCCAAGCAGGCUCCAGAUCUGAACAGCAAAAUAAGGGAGAAACAAGAGAGAAACACUGAAAAAGAAGAUCUGGUUGCAAAAUGUAAUGCAACACUAAUGUAUGAAGGAAAAUAGAAAGGACAAUGUUGUUGCCAUUGCAUAAGGCAAACAAACUAAUUAGUUUGACCAUUUUAAUAAUCAGCACAAAGCUCUCUAUGACGAGCGUAAAGUCAGAUCUGAAUAUGAUCCAAAGCGAAAAAUGUUUUGGAUGUCUCUCUUUGUGUUAGACCCUAUGAGAAAGAUUCCCAACUGCUUUUUUUAAAGCAUUUGUUUUAUGCAGAUGCACUACCUUACAAAGUUACUCCAGUCACUAUAGAAUAGAUAAUGAUUUUCAAAUAGAGAUGAUCAAGUCGUCUGUGGAAAAUCAGUGUACUUUUUCUUAUUGCACUAUAUACCAUAGAACAACUAUAUAUCACAAUGUCAGUUUAUUCCAGUAUCGGGCAGCCCUACUUAACUGGAUAAAUGGCAGGCAUAAAAGGUUGCCACAUGUAAUGUUCCACAUUAAUUCUGUGAUAAUAUUGGACACUAUAGCUGGUCUACCAUUAUGAACAUUAUGUAUUUAAUAAGGUAUGUUUAGUAAUGUUCUGUGGAUAAUACCAUGUGAAAGAGAGUGUUUUUGUUCCUUCUUAUGUUCGCACAGUGCUUGCUCAGAGAAUCAAAACAAACUUUGAAUUUGUCGGGUUUCAUUGUUCAAAAUUUGUAAGGUCUUACUAUGUGAAGUGCUAUUAGAUGAUGACAUAUGUUGAUGCUGUAUAGACUGAAUUGAAGUUAAGUUGAAUUAUAUUGACAGAUGAGCAUUUGGACCUUGAAGAUGUCAAAGUUCAUCCAAUUGGCCCAAGUUUCUCUAUCAGACAUCGACUUUAUCUCCUAGCAACUUGGACAUUUCAUCUUUCUAUGUUGCUUGUAACGUUAGUGCGCGUUCACACAGCUGUUAGCAUGGCUGUAGAGUCUUUUGCUUUUGGUGGAACUAGGCUAACAUGUUCCCUUGUUUCCAGUCUUUAUGCUAAGCUAAGUUAACCACGUUCUAAUUCAAGCUUCUGAAAAACACAGACAUGAGACAAUACACGUUUUUCCAAAAUGCCUACAUUUUGUUGCUAUAAUCCUCAGGUUUCCUGCUGAACCAGACUGUGUCCUACCUGGGACAGGCUGAGGUCAGGGUCUCCCAGCGGCAGGCCCUGGUGUCCGGGGGUGUGGAGGUGAGGCUCAGCCCGGCCAUUGGGGAUGAAGGAACUGUACAUCUUCGGCGUGGAAACGUCCAGUUUGUCCUCCUGGAAGAAGACAAAAGCAGAGGACAGAGAACAGGAAUGAGAGCUUUGAUCAGUUUGACUUUCUGUGGAUUAAAAAAUCAGAGUGAAUGUAAGAAUACAGAACAACAGGAUUAGCAAUUUUUAAUCUUUAAAGCAAAAAAUGAGGUGAACUGUGAGGAAAAUCGUCUUCGGUGGGUGUUUCAGGGUGAUUUUCAAUUAUUCCACACUUAGUAAUGAGGAGCUUAUAUAAAUAUACAUUUCAGCGGAGAGGUCAGAGGUCAGCAGCAGCUCAGCGAUCCAGUUUAUUGCUCAAGGACACUUGGAAAAGGGAUAGAGUUUAUAAUGAAACAGUCGAUUGUAAUGACUGAAUAAAAGACUGAAGUGAAGCUUAUUAUGUCUCCCCCCAGGGUGAGAAGGAGGUGGGAGGAAAGGAUGAAUAUUAACAUUGCUGCUCAGAAUUCAACUGGGUAUGUCGCUGCCUCUCAGCUUGUUCCUUGACAACAAAAUUUGACAGAUUCUGCUGCAAAUGCAUGUACAAUGUAGCAGCACUUAUGUGUUCAGUCACCUACAGACUCUUUUCCCCACCAAACAUCAUCCACGGGACUUAAACUGAUCUGUUCAUCAGCAUUAGCGUCACAUUUCCAAGUUUGAAGAUUAUUGCUUGUAUUAUCUGGCUCAGCAGAUGCAUAGAGUUAAAAAAGGUAAUAAAUCUUAAAUGUAAACACAAUAAAAAGAAUAUAAAUUUCCAAAAUAUUCGGCACCAAAAAAUGUCCUAUCACAUUUUCAGAGAUCUUUUCAGAAAUAGUGCACUUUGUUUUUAGGUACUUACUGGUACUCUACAAACACUGAUUCUGUUGAACUAUAUUUGUCUGACUGCAUAACUUUGUUUUCAUCUGCUCAUAUCAACAUUUGAUGACUCAAGUGUCUUUGUCAGGUAAAUGUACCGAUAAAUAAUAAGCUGCAAUGUUUCUGUGUCACCUCAUGUGAAUCAUUUUUUAUGCAUCUGAAGGUUUUUUUUUAAAAAAACAUCAUGUUCUCUGCAUCUGCUUUAAUUAUGAACUAUGAAAGCACUUUGUUUAUGAAGUAUGUCGACUUUUAUCUGUGAACUUAAUUAUAACUUGAAGCAAUCA
This is a long non-coding RNA of Acanthochromis polyacanthus (spiny chromis), 6240 nucleotides long. RefSeq lists it as uncharacterized. Lineage: Eukaryota; Metazoa; Chordata; Actinopteri; Pomacentridae. The transcript has 2 exons. The record is from RefSeq and is a predicted model, not a curated record.